GGGGCCACCUGGGCCCGCGCGUGCAGCCAGGGGCUUCCGGCCGCGGCCCCGGCGCGUGGUCUGCGCGCGCCCGGCCGUGCGUGCGGCUGCGGGGAGGCUGCGUGUGUGCGCAGGGCGGGAGCGCCGUCCACCUUCCCGCUUCCGAGCUGGGUGCGCGCCGAGCACAGGAGUUUGCACAGAGUGCCUGCUUUUAGGAGGUGGCUGUGUUGUCGGAAAAGCUGUCAAGGAGGAAAUUGCCAAACCGUGUCUUUUUUUCUGUUUUCAGAGUAAUUCACAGCAGAUCUGA
This 286-nucleotide long non-coding RNA is filed under the name Rhinopithecus roxellana (golden snub-nosed monkey). RNAcentral describes it as "lncRNA (ENSRROG00000046052.1)". Lineage: Eukaryota; Metazoa; Chordata; Mammalia; Primates; Cercopithecidae. The record is from RNAcentral.